AGUGAACGCUGGCGGUAGGCCUAACACAUGCAAGUCGAACGGCAGCACAGUAAGAGCUUGCUCUUACGGGUGGCGAGUGGCGGACGGGUGAGGAAUACAUCGGAAUCUACUUUUUCGUGGGGGAUAACGUAGGGAAACUUACGCUAAUACCGCAUACGACCUACGGGUGAAAGCAGGGGAUCUUCGGACCUUGCGCGAUUGAAUGAGCCGAUGUCGGAUUAGCUAGUUGGCGGGGUAAAGGCCCACCAAGGCGACGAUCCGUAGCUGGUCUGAGAGGAUGAUCAGCCACACUGGAACUGAGACACGGUCCAGACUCCUACGGGAGGCAGCAGUGGGGAAUAUUGGACAAUGGGCGCAAGCCUGAUCCAGCCAUACCGCGUGGGUGAAGAAGGCCUUCGGGUUGUAAGGCCCUUUUGUUGGGAAAGAAAAGCAGCAGGUUAAUACCCCGCUGUUCUGACGGUACCCAAAGAAUAAGCGCCGGCUAACUUCGUG
RNAcentral lists this ribosomal RNA (492 nucleotides) under uncultured bacterium. RNAcentral's name for it is "partial 16S ribosomal RNA". It matches the Rfam family "Bacterial small subunit ribosomal RNA", at positions 29 to 507 of the family's 1533-position model. The record is from RNAcentral.